This 465-nucleotide ribosomal RNA is filed under the name uncultured bacterium. RNAcentral's name for it is "partial 16S ribosomal RNA". It matches the Rfam family "Bacterial small subunit ribosomal RNA", at positions 28 to 507 of the family's 1533-position model. The record is from RNAcentral.
GACGAACGCUGGCGGCGUGCUUAACACAUGCAAGUCGAACGGAAAGGCCCUGCUUGCAGGGUACUCGAGUGGCGAACGGGUGAGUAACACGUGGGUGAUCUGCCCUGCACUUCGGGAUAAGCCUGGGAAACUGGGUCUAAUACCGGAUAGGAGCCAUUUUUAGUGUGAUGGUUGGAAAGUUUUUUGGGUGUAGGAUGAGCUCGCGGCCUAUCAGCUUGUUGGUGGGGGAAUGGCCUACCAAGGCGGCGACGGGUAGCCGGCCUGGGAGGGUGGACGGCCACAUUGGGACUGAGAUACGGCCCAGACUCCUACGGGAGGCAGCAGUGGGGAAUAUUGCACAAUGGGCGCAAGCCUGAUGCAGCGACGCCGCGUGGGGGAUGACGGCCUUCGGGUUGUAAACGCCUUUCGCUAGGGACGAAGCUUUUUGUGACGGUACCUAGAUAAGAAGCACCGGCUAACUACGUG